UACGUAGGUGGCAAGCGUUAUCCGGAAUUAUUGGGCGUAAAGCGCGCGCAGGCGGUUUCUUAAGUUUGAUGUGAAAGCCCACGGCUCAACCGUGGAGGGUCAUUGGAAACUGGGGAACUUGAGUGCAGAAAAGAAAAGCGGAAUUCCACGUGUAGCGGUGAAAUGCGUAGAGAUGUGGAGGAACACCAGUGGCGAAGGCGGCUUUUUGGUCUGUAACUGACGCUGAGGCGCGAAAGCGUGGGGAGCAAACAGG
RNAcentral lists this ribosomal RNA (253 nucleotides) under uncultured bacterium. RNAcentral's name for it is "partial 16S ribosomal RNA". It matches the Rfam family "Bacterial small subunit ribosomal RNA", at positions 524 to 776 of the family's 1533-position model. The record is from RNAcentral.